CGAGAGCCCUGCAAUGUCGGAAACACAGUAGAUAGAAAAUGUCGAAAAAAUACAGACAUUUUAUGAAACAGACCAAAAAGAGAGGCUCAAUUUCUUCCAAAACUGCUUAAGUAUACCCAAGCAGCCUCUUUUGCCUCUACUGACUCCGACGAGAGCAGAGAACCGACCCCAAAAACUACCUACCAACUCUGGAAAAAGAACAAGUCACCAUCCAUAGCAACCGAAGAAACGGAGAGUGAAGACGAAAUGCCGCCACCAAAACCAAUCAUGAAAAAAGCACCCCCGUCUGAUGCGGACGAUGACACGGACAGUGACGACGAGCCCG
Long non-coding RNA from Lingula anatina, 325 nucleotides. Lineage: Eukaryota; Metazoa; Brachiopoda; Lingulata; Lingulida; Lingulidae. The record is from RefSeq and is a predicted model, not a curated record.